AACGAACGCUGGCGGCAGGCCUAACACAUGCAAGUCGAACGGGACCUUCGGGUCUAGUGGCGGACGGGUGAGUAACGCGUGGGAACGUGCCCUUUGGUUCGGAAUAGCCUCGGGAAACUGGGAGUAAUACCGUAUAAGCCCUACGGGGGAAAGAUUUAUCGGGAAGGGAUCGGCCCGCGUUGGAUUAGGUAGUUGGUGGGGUAAUGGCCUACCAAGCCGACGAUCCAUAGCUGGUUUGAGAGGAUGAUCAGCCACACUGGGACUGAGACACGGCCCAGACUCCUACGGGAGGCAGCAGUGGGGAAUCUUAGACAAUGGGCGCAAGCCUGAUCUAGCCAUGCCGCGUGAGCGAUGAAGGCCUUAGGGUUGUAAAGCUCUUUCAGUGGGGAAGAUAAUGACUGUACCCACAGAAGAAGCCCCGGCUAACUCCGUGCCAGCAGCCGCGGU
This 447-nucleotide ribosomal RNA is filed under the name uncultured bacterium. Its description in RNAcentral is "bacterial SSU rRNA". It matches the Rfam family "Bacterial small subunit ribosomal RNA", at positions 29 to 521 of the family's 1533-position model. The record is from RNAcentral.